CGAGCGAACGGGGAGGAGCCCAGAGCCUGAAUCAGUGUGUGUGUUAGUGGAAGCGUCUGGAAAGGCGCGCGAUACAGGGUGACAGCCCCGUACACAAAAAUGCACAUACUGUGAGCUCGAUGAGUAGGGCGGGACACGUGGUAUCCUGUCUGAAUAUGGGGGGACCAUCCUCCAAGGCUAAAUACUCCUGACUGACCGAUAGUGAACCAGUACCGUGAGGGAAAGGCGAAAAGAACCCCGGCGAGGGGAGUGAAAAAGAACCUGAAACCGUGUACGUACAAGCAGUGGGAGCCUCUUAAUGGGGUGACUGCGUACCUUUUGUAUAAUGGGUCAGCGACUUAUAUUCUGUAGCAAGGUUAACCGAAUAGGGGAGCCGAAGGGAAACCGAGUCUUAACUGGGCGUUAAGUUGCAGGGUAUAGACCCGAAACCCGGUGAUCUAGCCAUGGGCAGGUUGAAGGUUGGGUAACACUAACUGGAGGACCGAACCGACUAAUGUUGAAAAAUUAGCGGAUGACUUGUGGCUGGGGGUGAAAGGCCAAUCAAACCGGGAGAUAGCUGGUUCUCCCCGAAAGCUAUUUAGGUAGCGCCUCGUGAAUUCAUCUCCGGGGGUAGAGCACUGUUUCGGCAAGGGGGUCAUCCCGACUUACCAACCCGAUGCAAACUGCGAAUACCGGAGAAUGUUAUCACGGGAGACACACGGCGGGUGCUAACGUCCGUCGUGAAGAGGGAAACAACCCAGACCGCCAGCUAAGGUCCCAAAGUCAUGGUUAAGUGGGAAACGAUGUGGGAAGGCCCAGACAGCCAGGAUGUUGGCUUAGAAGCAGCCAUCAUUUAAAGAAAGCGUAAUAGCUCACUGGUCGAGUCGGCCUGCGCGGAAGAUGUAACGGGGCUAAACCAUGCACCGAAGCUGCGGCAGCGACACUAUGUGUUGUUGGGUAGGGGAGCG
RNAcentral lists this ribosomal RNA (947 nucleotides) under Escherichia coli. RNAcentral's name for it is "partial 23S ribosomal RNA". It matches the Rfam family "Bacterial large subunit ribosomal RNA", at positions 250 to 1238 of the family's 2925-position model. RNAcentral also lists the same sequence under 1 other name. The record is from RNAcentral. Lineage: Bacteria; Pseudomonadati; Pseudomonadota; Gammaproteobacteria; Enterobacterales; Enterobacteriaceae.